This 30-nucleotide small RNA is filed under the name Bombyx mori (domestic silkworm). RNAcentral's name for it is "ovarian small RNA-37887". Lineage: Eukaryota; Metazoa; Arthropoda; Insecta; Lepidoptera; Bombycidae. The record is from RNAcentral.
UUGCUAAUCCUAGUUUGAAGCAAUCAGCCU